Molecule: ribosomal RNA, 432 nt
Filed under: uncultured bacterium
Lineage: Bacteria
Description: partial 16S ribosomal RNA
Rfam family: Bacterial small subunit ribosomal RNA
Source: RNAcentral
AACGAACGCCGGCGGCAGGCCUAACACAUGCAAGUCGAGCGAGGACUUCGGUUCUAGCGGCGGACGGGUGAGUAACGCGUGGGAAUGUGCCCUUCUCUACGGAAUAGCCCUGGGAAACUGGGAGUAAUACCGUAUACGCCCUAUUGGGGAAAGAUUUAUCGGAGAAGGAUCAGCCCGCGUUGGAUUAGGUAGUUGGUGGGGUAAUGGCCUACCAAGCCGACGAUCCAUAGCUGGUUUGAGAGGAUGAUCAGCCACACUGGGACUGAGACACGGCCCAGACUCCUACGGGAGGCAGCAGUGGGGAAUCUUAGACAAUGGGGGCAACCCUGAUCUAGCCAUGCCGCGUGAGUGAUGAAGGCCUUAGGGUUGUAAAGCUCUUUCAGCGGGGAAGAUAAUGACGGUACCAGCAGAAGAAGCCCCGGCUAACUCCGU